This 433-nucleotide ribosomal RNA is filed under the name uncultured bacterium. RNAcentral describes it as "partial 16S ribosomal RNA". It matches the Rfam family "Bacterial small subunit ribosomal RNA", at positions 29 to 507 of the family's 1533-position model. The record is from RNAcentral.
AACGAACGCUGGCGGCAGGCCUAACACAUGCAAGUCGAGCGCGCCCUCCGGGGUGAGCGGCGGACGGGUGAGUAACGCGUGGGAACGUGCCCUUUUCUACGGAAUAGCCUCGGGAAACUGAGAGUAAUACCGCAUACGCCCUUUGGGGGUAAGAUUUACUGGAAAAGGAUCGGCCCGCGUUGGAUUAGGUAGUUGGUGGGGUAAUGGCCUGCCAACCCGACGUUCCAUAGCUGGUUUGUGAGGAGGAUCCGCCACACUUGGACUGAGACACGGCCCAGACUCCGACGGGAGGCAGCAGUAGAGAAUAUUAGACAAGGGAGGCAACUCUGAUCUAGCCAUGCGGCGUGAGUGAUGAAGGCCGUAGGGUUGUAAAGCUCUUUCAGCUGAGAAGAUAAUGACGGUACCAGCAGAAGAAGCCCCGGCUAACUCCGUG